Alligator mississippiensis (American alligator) is the source of this 1341-nucleotide long non-coding RNA. RefSeq lists it as uncharacterized. Lineage: Eukaryota; Metazoa; Chordata; Crocodylia; Alligatoridae. The transcript has 2 exons. The record is from RefSeq and is a predicted model, not a curated record.
CGCAGAGCUAAGGAACACAGUUACUGUCUUGGCUGCGUAAUUCGCCCUUAUUCACUGUUCAUCUGACAUCUCAUAGUUCCUGAGUUGUUUGCAGGACAGCACCUCCUUUUUCCUCAGCCCCUUUCCAUGCAUGUCCAAAUGUCCCUGCCCUUCUCUUCCUCAAGUGGAUUUUUCUAAACCCGGGGUUUUCUCCCCCGCCUACUUCUGGACACUGAAGCCUGUCAGGUUCCUCCCAGAAUAAAUGUGUCGAGAUAGAUGGAGUCAAGGAGACCUGCAAUCGUGUACGGGGAGCCCGGGGGUGAGCUGCGAGGAUGCGUGCCAUUCAUGUGCCAGGCUGACGGGUGCAGCCCUGGGCUCUCUUUGACUACCGGUUCCCCAACCCCCGUCGAGCCUAGUUUAAAGCUCUUGGGAGGAGAUCAGCCAAGCUGCGGGCGAACAGAUACUUACCUCUGGGGGAGAGAUGAAGAUCAUCAUCUCCCAGGAAGCCUCCUCCCUGCAAGUGCUGGUCAUGGCUGUAGAAUCCGAAGCUCUCCUGAAGACACCGACUCUGGAGCCGCCGGUUGACUUCUUUGAUGCAGGCACCCUGGCGUCUCCGGCUGCUGCCGACCGGAAGGAUGGAAGAAAAUACAACCUGUGCUCCAGUCUUCUUGAGGCUGUCUCCCAGUUCAUGGAAGUCCUUCAUGAUGCAGUCAGGGCUGGUCCUAGCCGCAUCGUUGGUUCCUACUUAUCCCAGAUCACCUGUUCCCUCUUAUCUGGGGUGACCUGUUUCUGUGCCUGGGCCACCCGUCAAAGUUCCUCCAAGCUGGGGUUUGAACUCCUGCCCAGCUAGGCAAUCAGCAGGGAGUUCAAGUGCUUCCCUAAGGGGUGACCCUUCCUCUACUGGGAUGUUCUCUAAUUCCUCCCUGAGAGCCUCGGCUUCCUCUGCCACUGACUGACUGGGCUCCUCCCUGGGGCUGUCACUUAGCUUGACCCCAGGGUCAUUGGUUCCCUCAGCAGCCAGCUGGUUGCUGCAGUCGGGGGGUCUCUUCCUUAUCCCCCUCUUGCCUCCACAGCCACCUAGGUUACUUGGCUCUGGGCGGUUUCCCUACCUUCCCUCCUCACCUUCUUGCUCUGCCAACGAGUCACUACAUCAAUGCGGAUGGGAUCUAGGAUGUUUCCCCACGCUGCUCACUCAUGCUCCAGCUCUGUAAUAUCCCUCCCCACCAGCAUGGGGGCAGGAGCAUUUUCCAUUGCUUCUAUCUCCACUUCCAGUCCCUCCACCAGAUGGGGAGACGUGCUACCUGUACUUUGGAUGGCAUGGCAUUAAAAAAAACAGUUAAAAUAAAACAAAAUCAAAAUGUG